UUUCACAACUCUCUAAUCUCUACAAAAUCACUCUCAAAGCUCUUGCAAAUCAGAAAUUCGGACAGAUUCAUACCUCCUUACAAAAGUGAGCAUAACUUGCUCAAAACUCAACCAAAUCACUUGAUUCUUCUUUCUAAAUGCUUGGAUAAUCUUUGGGCUUGAUUCCUUGAUCUCUCCUUGGAGAAAUCAGACCUGGAAAUACCCUAAAAGUGUCCAUAAACUUUCUGUUGUGUUUUAAAAACUUUCUAAACUCUUGUUUACUUCAAACAAACUUGUGUCCUUAUGCUUCUAGUCUCUUGUAUGAUUAGUAAAGCCAAACCAAGCUCACAAGUGGUGUCAAGUCUUGAACUUGAAGAUGGUGUGACUACUUGGCUAGCCUAGGCUAACCUACAUACAUGUCCACACACCACUUGAUGUUUUGCUUAGUUAGUUGUAUUAUUUCUUGUACAUAUCUAUGAGGUUCCUAAAGAGAAGAUUCGUCUUCCUACCUCCUACAUGACCACAUGUUAAUAAAUCAUUCGAGGUACCAAAGUGGAGGGUUUCACCUCCCACCUCCUACUUGACUUAUAUGACACCAAGAGGUACCAAAGUGGAAGGUCCAACCUCCCGCCUCCUACAUGACUAAGUAUAUUAUUAUGUAUAUGAUGCGUGUUAGUGUGUAUAUAUUUUUGAUGUAUUUUUAAGCCCUUUUUACACUUUUAGCCAAGUUUUAAAUUUAUAAAACACGAUAUUUACUAACACUAAACACACAUAUGGGCAAGUGCACCCAUCGUGGACGUAGUAUAGUGUUGGUAAGAUACCGAGGUCGUCCAAGGACACAAGAGCUUUUAAUACCGGUUUAUCCUCAACGUCUAAUCAAAUCAAAAAGUUAGAAAAAUGUUUUAAACUAAGAAAAAUAAAAACUAACUAAAUGCUGAAAAAUAAAAUAAAAUAAAAACAGAUAGACAAGAUGAAUCACUUGGAUCCGACAAGUGUAUUAGUAUAACCUUUGAUUAUUUUCGCACUUUUGCACUUGUUUAAGAGAUUAUCUUAGUUAUUGUAGUAGGCCCCUUUUUCGGAGGUGACGUUACCCUCAACCCAGUAGUUUGAGUCAGCAAGGAUACAAUCCUAAAGGGUUGGAUUAUUGAAAGAUAAUGAAUUAAGUUAUUAAUGCAAAUUAUGGUAGGCCCCGCUUUUGGCGGUGACGUUACCCUCGGCUAAGUAGUCUGAGUCAGCAGGGAUACAGUCCUAAAUAGCCGGGUUAUAGUAUUAAUAGUAGUUAGCUUAUGAGGGGGUCAAAGAGUUUGGAUCCCCGCCAUCCAAUACCUAUGGGCAUUGAAGGAGAUCCUACUAAAUUUGACCCAGGUCCCAAGCAGGACCUCUAAACGCUGAACAAGGGCAAGACCUUUACCAAACCGUUCCCUUAACCCCCGACCAGGUAGCCAACAUACCUCCAUAUAGACCGUGGAGAUAUGAAUGGUGAAAAUCUUUUAUUUUAUAUAGACAGUAAAAUAAUGCCAAGACACCACGGACAAACGAUAAGGAAAGAUCACCUUCAACAUAAGUAACUAGUUAUUAAAGUCAUUAAUAC
This 1570-nucleotide long non-coding RNA is filed under the name Helianthus annuus (common sunflower). RNAcentral's name for it is "hypothetical non coding rna". Lineage: Eukaryota; Viridiplantae; Streptophyta; Magnoliopsida; Asterales; Asteraceae. The record is from RNAcentral.